GACGAACGCUGGCGGCGUGCCUAACACAUGCAAGUCAACUUGAGGGAAGGAGCAAUCUGACCUGAUGGUGGCGCAAAGGGUGCGUAACGCGUAAGUAACUUGCCCCAAGGUAAGGAAUAACGUCGAGAAAUCGGCGCUAAUACCUCAUAAUGCAGCGGAUCCGCAUGGAUAUGUUGUUAAAAGGUUUACCGCCUUGGGAUAGGCUUGCGUCUGAUUAGCUAGUUGGUGUGGUAAUGGCACACCAAGGCUACGAUCAGUAACUGGUCUGAGAGGAUGAUCAGUCACACUGGAAACUGAGACACGGUCCAGACUCCUACGGAGGCAGCAGUGAGGAAUAUUGGGCAAAUGCACGAAAGUAGUGACCCAG
RNAcentral lists this ribosomal RNA (367 nucleotides) under uncultured bacterium. Its description in RNAcentral is "bacterial SSU rRNA". It matches the Rfam family "Bacterial small subunit ribosomal RNA", at positions 28 to 391 of the family's 1533-position model. The record is from RNAcentral.